RNAcentral lists this long non-coding RNA (1797 nucleotides) under Haliotis rubra (blacklip abalone). Its description in RNAcentral is "uncharacterized LOC124279203". Lineage: Eukaryota; Metazoa; Mollusca; Gastropoda; Lepetellida; Haliotidae. The record is from RNAcentral.
CCGAGGACUGUCUGCAACCAACGUUGCUUAACUUCAACUGAUUGUGACCUGAGCUCUAUGCACAGGACCACACACCGCCAUGGAGUCUGGACCAAACAAUCCAGUGACCAACACCAUUAUCAUCGAUCUACGUUAAUAAGUGGGGAUAUUGUAUGCAUUAUCCGUGUCAACAAGCCUGACCACAUGAUCCCAUUGCCUCUUAUGAUAAGCAUAGGUUACAGAAAAACUAUUGUUGCCCAGGUCUUCACCAGUUCUUGCUCACAUCUUCACAGGUCUCGUCCACUUGUGACAAGCAUAUGGUUUGUCUUGGUAGUGACUGAAUUAUUUACAGGCUGGUGUCCGAUAUAGCUGGAAUAGUAUCUGUCUGCACAAGGUCAGCAGGGACGAGUCUGCCAUUAAUUGUACUUUGAUUAACUGAGCAUUUUAAUCAAGUUCACAAUAUGCAUAGAAGCAGGGGUGGUCCAAAGGUUUGAAAUUUGCUUUGCAGAGUUGUCUCCCUUUGUUGUGCCAUCUUCUGAUGGUAAUGGGGAACAAUUCCCCAAUUUGGACCCGAUCUGUCACCGCUGUACUGGUGCUUGUGGGUUUUCAUCUAGACCUAAAAGAGACAUGCGCGCGCACACACACACCCAGACAAAGUAGGGUGACAUUACAUGUUAACUUAUGUUUUUAUAUACUUUUAUACAAUUUUUAAUUUUUGUUUCCAUUUUACUAUUUUUGAAGUUGGAUCAGGAAACAGAGUUUAUCAUCUCAUCGACUAACAAAUGAUAGAUAACACAGUGUUUGUGAGAUUCUCCAAAACCACUCCAAGUUUCUUGUCCCUGGGGCAGACGGGUAGCACAGUGGUUAAAGCAUUCCGACAUCACACUAAAGGCAAGGGUUCAUUUCCCCCCACAUGGGUUUAAUUUUUACGAAGCCCAUUUCUCUCUCACUCACUCAAUGUCAUCCACAUGGCUUCAUAGUUUAGAAUAUUUCAGGGUAUGUGGUCUGGCUCACGGUCUCUGAACAUUACGGUACAUUGUCUUUCAUAGAGACUAAGCAUCAGACAAGGGUGAUAUACUGAAGGUCAAAAGAAACGCAUUGGCACUGGUAAAAAUUUGAAAAGGAUCACGUCUGAGAUAAAUUGUUGUUUGUACUUCUCAUGCUGUACAUGAGGCGGUGGGGGUAGCCUAGUGGUGAAAGCAUUCGUUGGUAUUGCCAAAGACCCGGGUUCGAAUCCCCAUUUGGGUACAAUGAGUGAAGCCCAUUUCUGGUGUCCCCCGCCGUGAUGUUGCUGGAAUAUUGCUAAAAGUGGCAUAAAACUAAAAUUAGAUGUAAAACUUGCCAGCCCUGACCAAAACUUACCCGCAAAUAAUUUAGGUAUGACAUCCAAUUUAGUUCAUCAUCGAAUUGGAAUUCAUCAUUUAUUUUCACAAGUGAAUUAAUAAUGAUUUAUUAUCCUGAAAUAUGGUAUAUAUCUUCAGAUGAGAUGUAUUUUGUGCCUUAAUAAUAUGAAUAUUUGCUGGCUAAUCUGUCCCAAUAACUGAGGUAUCACUUGAUUCAUUCAAAAUACCCACGACGCAGCUCAGCGAACAUGUUCAAAAGAUGGAUGAACAUAGUGUGGCUGGACUCAUAAGCAUUGACGAUGCUGGUCUGUUCUCUAUAUAUUUACACAUCUAUAUGGUUUUCAUAUUGCAAAUGAUAGACAGAAUAUAAGCUUACUCUAACCUAUACCUAACUGCCAAUCUUAUAUUAUCAGACUAAUCCAUCCUUGUUUUGAUCAGGUUUUUACGGGGCGCGUGAUUCCUGCGUAUUGGACGC